GUUUUAAUAGUUUAAUAUAAAACAAUGAUCUUGUAAAUCAUAAAUAGGGUAACCUUUAAAACA
Molecule: transfer RNA, 63 nt
Filed under: Nysius plebeius
Lineage: Eukaryota; Metazoa; Arthropoda; Insecta; Hemiptera; Lygaeidae
Also listed under: 3 other names
Description: tRNA-Thr
Rfam family: tRNA
About the family: Transfer RNA (tRNA) molecules are approximately 80 nucleotides in length. Their secondary structure includes four short double-helical elements and three loops (D, anti-codon, and T loops).
Source: RNAcentral